GGAACUGCUCUCAAAACUACAAGUCUAGAAUUCAGGAGAGGAUAGCGGAAUUCCCAGUGUAGCAGUGAAAUGCGUAGAUAUUGGGAGGAACACCAGUGGCGUAAGCGGCUAUCUGGACUGACAUUGACGCUGAGGCACGAAAAGCGUGGGGAUCAAACAGGAUUAGAUACCCUGGUAGUCCACGCUGUAAACGAUGUGUGCUUGUCGCUGGGGGGUUCACCCUUCGGUGACGCAGCUAACGCGUUAAGCACACCGCCUGGGAAGUACGGCCGCAAGGUUAAAACCCAAAGGAAUUGACGGGGACCCGCACAAGCGGUGGAGUAUGUGGUUUAAUUCGUCGCAACGCGAAGAACCUUACCAGGCCUCGACAUACCGAUUAAGAGAAGCAGAGAUGCAUCUCGUCAGUUCGGCUGGAUCGGAUACAGGUGCUGCAUGGCUGUCGUCAGCUCGUGUCGUGAGAUGUUGGGUUAAGUCCCGCAACGAGCGCAACCCCUUUUAUCAGUUGCCAGCACGUAAUGGUGGGAACUCUGAUGAUACUGCCGGUGAUAAGCCGGAGGAAGGCGGGGAUGACGUCAAGUCCUCAUGGCCCUUACGGCCUGGGCUACACACGUACUACAAUGGUGGUGACAAUGGGCAGCCAGACUGCAAAGUCGAGCAAAUCCCUAAAAGCCACCUCAGUUCAGAUUGCACUCUGCAACUCGAGUGCAUGAAGUUGGAAUCGCUAGUAAUCGUGGAUCAGCAUGCCACGGUGAAUACGUUCCCGGGUCUUGUACACACCGCCCGUCAAGCGAUGGGAGUUGGUUCCACCCGAAGCCGGGGCGCUAACCGCAAGGAAGCAGCCGACCACGGUGGGAUCAGCGACUGGCGCUAAGUCGUAACAAGGUAGCCGUAAAUCG
This 896-nucleotide ribosomal RNA is filed under the name uncultured bacterium. Its description in RNAcentral is "bacterial SSU rRNA". It matches the Rfam family "Bacterial small subunit ribosomal RNA", at positions 617 to 1509 of the family's 1533-position model. The record is from RNAcentral.